UCGCAUUUCGCUUGAAAACUUCAUUAGGAUCUUCCGUAUGAGACUGUAGACGCGCAACAGAAGCAAUAUCAUUACCGCUACCAUACGGGGACGGUGGGUAAGCCCUCGGCGGAAUUGCAGGGCGUGGGAAAGCAGCAGCCCCCAUAUUGGAAGCAAUCGAAGAAUUAACACUAUUACGCCCAAAACUAGAACUAGGACUCGGAGAAGGACUAGGGCUAGGGCUAGGAUUAGGCCUCCGUUGAGAAUAAAGUGGAGGGUCG
RNAcentral lists this unclassified non-coding RNA (260 nucleotides) under Hevea brasiliensis (rubber tree). Lineage: Eukaryota; Viridiplantae; Streptophyta; Magnoliopsida; Malpighiales; Euphorbiaceae. The record is from RNAcentral.